GCCCGGGUAGUAUAGCGGUUAGAAUUUUGGGGGUUCUUUUCUCCCCAGAAUGACUACUAUUGGGGACUGUGAAUCCUUAGAGGCGGGUUCGAUUCCCGCCCCGGGCC
This 107-nucleotide transfer RNA is filed under the name Promethearchaeota archaeon. RNAcentral's name for it is "Candidatus Lokiarchaeota archaeon (microbial mat metagenome) tRNA-His". It matches the Rfam family "tRNA". Rfam says of the family: Transfer RNA (tRNA) molecules are approximately 80 nucleotides in length. Their secondary structure includes four short double-helical elements and three loops (D, anti-codon, and T loops). The record is from RNAcentral. Lineage: Archaea; Promethearchaeati; Promethearchaeota.